UCUUUACAACUGUCCGAUUUAAAUCUUCCUUAUCCUCAACAUGGAAAGUAAUUUUGCUUCCUUCCGGUUGAAUUGUCUCAGCGUGUUGAACUUGCGCAUUCUUAAACCCACAAUGAGGACAUUCAAACGACAUUAAAACAACCUCACGGAAGUAUGGAAUGACCGUCAACAAUAAUUUAGUAGUACCGUUUUUUCCACACUCCAUACACAACGAUUCGACUUCUUGAACACCAUUUCCUUCCCUAUCCUCAGCUGUUGACACAUUUUGUGCAGCAUUGCCAAUACUUGUGAACAAUUCUUCCUUUUUUUCUUCCGCCAUGCUCUCAAAUUUUCUUUUUAGCGUUAUUUUGAUUAGAUGUGUUUAAG
Non-coding RNA from Schizosaccharomyces pombe (fission yeast), 366 nucleotides. NCBI's taxonomy places the organism in Eukaryota, Fungi, Ascomycota, Schizosaccharomycetes, Schizosaccharomycetales, Schizosaccharomycetaceae. The record is from the annotation of a GenBank genome assembly.